This 390-nucleotide ribosomal RNA is filed under the name Choanoflagellata sp. RNAcentral describes it as "SSU rRNA". It matches the Rfam family "Eukaryotic small subunit ribosomal RNA", at positions 828 to 1219 of the family's 1831-position model. Lineage: Eukaryota; Choanoflagellata. The record is from RNAcentral.
CUUUGGUUCUAUUUUGUUGGUUUCUAGGACCGAAGUAAUGAUUAAUAGGGAUAGUUGGGGGCAUUAGUAUUUAAUUGUCAGAGGUGAAAUUCUUGGAUUUAUGAAAGACUAACAUCUGCGAAAGCAUUUGCCAAGGAUGUUUUCAUUGAUCAAGAACGAAAGUUAGGGGAUCGAAGACGAUCAGAUACCGUCGUAGUCUUAACCAUAAACUAUGCCGACUAGGGAUCAGUGAGCGAUAAUUUUGUCCUCAUUGGCACCUUAUGGGAAACCAAAGUUUUUGGGUUCCGGGGGGAGUAUGGUCGCAAGGCUGAAACUUAAAGGAAUUGACGGAAGGGCACCACCAGGAGUGGAGCCUGCGGCUUAAUUUGACUCAACACGGGGAAACUCACC